This 333-nucleotide ribosomal RNA is filed under the name Rhynchelmis elrodi. RNAcentral's name for it is "partial 16S ribosomal RNA". It matches the Rfam family "Bacterial large subunit ribosomal RNA", at positions 1959 to 2527 of the family's 2925-position model. The record is from RNAcentral. Lineage: Eukaryota; Metazoa; Annelida; Clitellata; Lumbriculida; Lumbriculidae.
GCAUAAUCAUUUGCCCGUUAAUUGCGGGCUAGUAUGAACGGGUAAACGAAAUAGAACCUGUCUCAGUUAAACUAAUAAAAAUUAUCCUCUAGAUGAAGAGAUCUAAAUAAAAUUGAAGGACAAGAAGACCCUAUAGAGCUUUACUUUUAUAAAAUACUAAAAUAUUUUAAACAGUUCGGUUGGGGCGACCAAGGACACAUAUAUCAUCCUACAACAUUAAGAUUCACACAUCUCUAUAUAUGACCCUAUAAUAGAUCAAAGAAACAAGCUACCUUAGGGAUAACAGGCUAAUCCUCCCACAGAGACCUUAUCAACAGGAGGGAUUGGCACCUC